RNAcentral lists this ribosomal RNA (495 nucleotides) under uncultured bacterium. Its description in RNAcentral is "partial 16S ribosomal RNA". It matches the Rfam family "Bacterial small subunit ribosomal RNA", at positions 28 to 507 of the family's 1533-position model. The record is from RNAcentral.
GACGAACGCUGGCGGCGUGCCUAAUACAUGCAAGUCGAACGCUGAAGGAGGAGCUUGCUUCUCUGGAUGAGUUGCGAACGGGUGAGUAACGCGUAGGUAACCUGCCUGGUAGCGGGGGAUAACUAUUGGAAACGAUAGCUAAUACCGCAUAAGAGUAGAUGUUGCAUGACAUUUACUUAAAAGGUGCAAUUGCAUCACUACCAGAUGGACCUGCGUUGUAUUAGCUAGUUGGUGAGGUAACGGCUCACCAAGGCAACGAUACAUAGCCGACCUGAGAGGGGGAUCGGCCACACUGGGACUGAGACACGGCCCAGACUCCUACGGGAGGCAGCAGUAGGGAAUCUUCGGCAAUGGACGGAAGUCUGACCGAGCAACGCCGCGUGAGUGAAGAAGGUUUUCGGAUCGUAAAGCUCUGUUGUAAGAGAAGAACGAGUGUGAGAGUGGAAAGUUCACACUGUGACGGUAUCUUACCAGAAAGGGACGGCUAACUACGUG